GAUGAAGAACGCAGCGAAAUGCGAUACGUAAUGUGAAUUGCAGAAUUCAGUGAAUCAUCGAAUCUUUGAACGCAUAUUGCGCUCUCUGGUAUUCCGGAGAGCAUGCUUGUUUGAGUAUCAGUAAACACCUCAACUCCCCUUUCUUUUUUUGAAAUGGGAGCUGGACUUGAGUGAUCCCAACGCUUUUCUCACCGAAAAGUGGCGGGUUACUUGAAAUGCAGGUGCAGCUGGACUUUUCUCUUAGCUAAAAGCAUAUCUAUUUAGUCUGCCUAAAAAACAGAUUAUUACCUUUGCUGCAGCUAACAUAAAGGAGAUUAGUUCUUGUGCUGACUGAUGCAGGAUUCACAGAGACAGCUUCGGCUGGCCUUUGUAAACUCGAUCUCAAAUCAAGUAAGACUACCCGCUGAACUUAAGCAUAUCAAUAAGCGGAGGA
This 433-nucleotide unclassified non-coding RNA is filed under the name soil metagenome. RNAcentral's name for it is "partial contains 5.8S ribosomal RNA, internal transcribed spacer 2, and large subunit ribosomal RNA". The stretch from base 1 to 120 matches the Rfam family "5.8S ribosomal RNA", at positions 35 to 154 of the family's 154-position model. The record is from RNAcentral.